UAACAGGUCUUCGGACGCUGACGAGUGGCGAACGGGUGAGUAAUACAUCGGAACGUGCCCAGUCGUGGGGGAUAACUACUCGAAAGAGUAGCUAAUACCGCAUACGAUCUGAGGAUGAAAGCGGGGGACCUUCGGGCCUCGCGCGAUUGGAGCGGCCGAUGGCAGAUUAGGUAGUUGGUGGGAUAAAAGCUUACCAAGCCGACGAUCUGUAGCUGGUCUGAGAGGACGACCAGCCACACUGGGACUGAGACACGGCCCAGACUCCUACGGGAGGCAGCAGUGGGGAAUUUUGGACAAUGGGCGAAAGCCUGAUCCAGCAAUGCCGCGUGCAGGAUGAAGGCCUUCGGGUUGUAAACUGCUUUUGUACGGAACGAAAAAGCUUCUCCUAAUACGAGAGGCCCAUGACGGUACCGUAAGAAUAAGCACCGGCUAACUACGUGCCAGCAGCCGCGGUAAUACGUAGGGUGCGAGCGUUAAUCGGAAUUACUGGGCGUAAAGCGUGCGCAGGCGGUUAUGUAAGACAGAUGUGAAAUCCCCGGGCUCAACCUGGGAACUGCAUUUGUGACUGCAUGGCUAGAGUACGGUAGAGGGGGAUGGAAUUCCGCGUGUAGCAGUGAAAUGCGUAGAUAUGCGGAGGAACACCGAUGGCGAAGGCAAUCCCCUGGACCUGUACUGACGCUCAUGCACGAA
RNAcentral lists this ribosomal RNA (690 nucleotides) under uncultured beta proteobacterium. RNAcentral's name for it is "bacterial SSU rRNA". It matches the Rfam family "Bacterial small subunit ribosomal RNA", at positions 70 to 757 of the family's 1533-position model. Lineage: Bacteria; Pseudomonadati; Pseudomonadota; Betaproteobacteria. The record is from RNAcentral.